RNAcentral lists this ribosomal RNA (504 nucleotides) under uncultured bacterium. RNAcentral's name for it is "partial 16S ribosomal RNA". It matches the Rfam family "Bacterial small subunit ribosomal RNA", at positions 28 to 523 of the family's 1533-position model. The record is from RNAcentral.
GAUAAACGCUAGCGGCAGGCUUAACACAUGCAAGUCGAGGGGCAGCAUAGAUUGUAGCAAUACAAUUGGUGGCGACCGGCGCACGGGUGCGUAACGCGUAUGCAACCUACCCGUCACAGGGGGAUAAUCCGGAGAAAUCUGGUCUAAUACCCCAUAACAUAUGGAUCGGCAUCGGUUCAUGUUGAAAUUUUCGGAGGUGACGGAUGGGCAUGCGUAGCAUUAGCUUGUUGGUGAGGUAACGGCUCACCAAGGCGACGAUGCUUAGGGGGACUGAGAGGUUUUCCCCCCACACUGGGACUGAGACACGGACCAGCCUCCUACGGGAGGCAGCAGUGAGGAAUAUUGGUCAAUGGGCGCAAGCCUGAACCAGCCAUGCCGCGUGCAGGAUGACGGCUCUAUGAGUUGUAAACUGCUUUUGUACGAGGGUAAAGUGGGUUACGUGUAACCUUUUGAAAGUAUCGUACGAAUAAGGAUCGGCUAACUCCGUGCCAGCCGCCGCAGUAA